This 1344-nucleotide long non-coding RNA is filed under the name Junco hyemalis (dark-eyed junco). Its description in RNAcentral is "lncRNA (ENSJHYG00000006995.1)". Lineage: Eukaryota; Metazoa; Chordata; Aves; Passeriformes; Passerellidae. The record is from RNAcentral.
CAGGGCCUCUCCACAGCAGGCCAGGAACUCGGGGAUGCUGCAGGGAUGGGCAGCGACUCCCAACUUCUGCUUCAGCAGCAGGAACUGCGGGGAGACAGCCUGGUGUACAUUAAUUUGUAUUUUCUAUGGAUUUGUUUAUAUUUUCUUUUAGAUCUCUUUUUAUUUUCUAUUUCCGUUUCUAUUGUCUUUGAUAUUGCUUUCUAUUUUCUAUUUUAUUUUACAUUUUCUUUUCUACUUCCUUUUCUAUUGUCUUUGAUAUUUCUUUCAUUUUCUUUUAUAUUUCCUAUUUUCUUUGAUACAUUUCCUUUAUAUUUUAUUUUCUUAGAUAUUUUCUUUGAUAUUUCCUUUCCAUUUUUCCCAUUUCUUUGAUAUGUAUUUGAUACUUUAUUUUUUAGAUUUCUUUAUAUUUUCUUUGAUAUUUCCUAUUUUCUUUUAUAUUCCUUUAUAUUUUGAUCCUUCUUUAUAUAUUCUUUGAUAUUUCUUUACAUUUUCUUUGAUAUUUCUAUUUUCUUUUAUAUUCCUUUCUAUUUUCUUUUAUAUUCCUUUCUAUUUUUUAUAUUUUCUUUGAUAUUUCUAUUUUCCUUUCUUUUUACUUUAUAUUUUUUAUAUUUUCUUUAUAUUUUCUAUUAUAUUACUUUAUAUUUUCCUUUAUAUUUUCCUUUCUAUUUCCUUCAUAUUUUCUUUAAUAUUCCUUAUAUUUUAAUAUUUUCCUUUACAUUUUCCAUGAUAUCCCUUUCUAUUUUUUUUUAUAUUUUCCUUUAUACUUUCCUUGAUAUUUCUUAAUUUUUUUUUUAUAUUUUCCUUUAUAUUUUUUUUUGAUAUUUCCUUUAUAUUUCCUUUUCCAUUCUCCCCAUUCCUCACGUGUUUCCUGCUGGCAAUGGCCUGUUGGACCCACAGCAGCUCCAGCAGCAGCCGAGUCCUGAGGGCCUGCAGCUCCCAGCGGGGCAGCCCCUGCAGCUCCUCUGGGAUUUCUGCAAAAAAUGGGGAAAAAAUCAAAAUUCAGUCAUGUAGGGGCUGAUCCUGCAGCUCCUCUGGGAUUCCUGCAAAAAAAAUGGGGAAAAAACUCAAAAUUCAGCCCCUGCAGUUCCUCUGGGAUUCCUGCAAAAAAUGGGGAAAAAUCAAAAUUCAGCCCCUGCAGCUCCUCUGGGAUUUCUGCAAAAAUGGGGAAAAAACCAAAAUUCAGCCUCUGCAGCUCCUCUGGGAUUCCUGCAGAAAAUGGGGAAAAAACCCAAAAUUCAGUCAUGUAGGGGCAGCUCCUGCAGCUCCUCUGGGAUUCCUGCAAAAAAUGGGGAAAAAAUCAAAAUUCAGCCCCUGCAGCUCCUCUGGGAUUCCUGCAAAAAUGGG